This 460-nucleotide long non-coding RNA is filed under the name Fukomys damarensis (Damara mole-rat). RNAcentral describes it as "lncRNA (ENSFDAG00000033236.1)". Lineage: Eukaryota; Metazoa; Chordata; Mammalia; Rodentia; Bathyergidae. The record is from RNAcentral.
AUUCUUCUCUUUCAUCCCUGCACCCAGCGAAGCAGCUUAUUUUUUCCCUUUUCUUUCAUUGAUUACAGUUAUUACUUUCCAAUGUCUCUUCUCGGACUUUCCAUGGGAUUAUGCUUUGCUUUGACAUAAUCAAAAAAAGCAAAGAAAUGAAAAAUGCAUAAGAAAGAGAAAUGUUUUAGCCACUCUGUACAAGAGAAACACUACUACUUUCAAGCACUGUUUUCUGUAGCUUCUCAUGGAGCCUGCUCAGUUGAAGCAUCAGCUUUGCUUGGCUUUCUUUGACAGGAGGCUCAAGACUGACUGGUUCUUAUUUCCAGUGAGAACAAGAUUGUGAAUGGUGAGUAGCAUUUGUUAUUACUCUUCAGUUGUAGGAUAUGGAUUCCUCACCAAGGCCAAAAUAUUAAACUAUAGUUCCUUUCUCCAAUCAAGCAGAUAUCAGCUGACUUCACUGGUAAAUAAG